AUUGCCCUAGUAACGGCGAGUGAAGCGGCAACAGCUCAAAUUUGAAAUCUGGCCCCCCUGGGGCCCGAGUUGUAAUUUGCAGAGGAUGCUUCUGGCGCGGUGCCUUCCGAGUUCCCUGGAACGGGACGCCACAGAGGGUGAGAGCCCCGUAUGGUGGGACACCAAGCCUGUGUGAAGCUCCUUCGACGAGUCGAGUAGUUUGGGAAUGCUGCUCAAAAUGGGAGGUAAAUCUCUUCUAAAGCUAAAUACCGGCCAGAGACCGAUAGCGCACAAGUAGAGUGAUCGAAAGAUGAAAAGCACCUUGAAAAGGGGGUUAAACAGUACGUGAAAUUGUUGAAAGGGAAGCGCUUGUGACCAGACUUGCGCCGGGCGGCUCAUCAGGGGUUCUCCCCUGUGUAUUCCGCCCGGUUCAGGCCAGCAUCGGUUCUCGCCGGGGGAUAAGAACGGCAGGAACGUGGCUCCCCCUCGGGGGAGUGUUAUAGCCUGCCGUACGAUACCCUGGCGGGGACCGAGGUUCGCGCUCCGCAAGGAUGCUGGCGUAAUGGUCACCAGCGACCCGUCUUGAAACACGGACCAAGGAGUCGUCCAUUAGAGCGAGCGUUUGGGUGUCAAACCCGCACGCGUAAUGAAAGUGAAAUUAGGUGAGAGCUUCGGCGCAUCAUCGACCGAUCCUGAUGUUCUCGGAUGGAUUUGAGUAAGAGUUUUAACGGACGGACCCGAAAAACAGUGAACUAUGCUUGUAUAGGGUGAAGCCAGAGGAAACUCUGGUGGAGGCUCGCAGCGGUUCUGACGUGCAAAUCGAUCGUCAAAUAUGAGCAUGGGGGCGAAAGACUAAUCGAACUGUUUAGUAGCUGGUUACCGCCGAAGUUCCCC
RNAcentral lists this ribosomal RNA (873 nucleotides) under Septomelanconiella thailandica. RNAcentral's name for it is "LSU rRNA". It matches the Rfam family "Eukaryotic large subunit ribosomal RNA", at positions 74 to 972 of the family's 3401-position model. The record is from RNAcentral. Lineage: Eukaryota; Fungi; Ascomycota; Sordariomycetes; Diaporthales; Melanconiellaceae.